AAGCUCGUAGUUGAAUUUCGGGAUUAGUACGUUGGUCGUGCCUUAGGUACGUACUGGUGUUACUGGUUCCUACCUUCUGACGAACCAUCAUGUCAUUAAUUUGGUGUGGUGGGGAAUCAGGACUGUUACUUUGAAAAAAUUAGAGUGUUUAAAGCAGGCUCGCGCUUGAAUACAUUAGCAUGGAAUAAUGAAAUAGGACGUUGAUCCUAUUUUGUUGGUUUCUAGGAUUGACGUAAUGAUUAAUAGGGAUAGUGGG
Molecule: ribosomal RNA, 256 nt
Filed under: uncultured Glomus
Lineage: Eukaryota; Fungi; Glomeromycota; Glomeromycetes; Glomerales; Glomeraceae
Description: partial 18S ribosomal RNA
Rfam family: Eukaryotic small subunit ribosomal RNA
Source: RNAcentral